CUUUACAUCCGGCUUCGGAUUUGAUCUAAUCAACUCUGAUUCUAUUGGUUUAUAUGUCAGUGUCGAUUCCUCUACCUAUCAAGCUUCACCAAGCUUGUUUUUAACGGCAUCAGUUUCUUUAUCAAAAAACUUUUUUUUCUAAAAAAAUAUCCUAAGAUUCAUGAACAUCUCAUGUCUAUUAGGAAGAUAAAAUAAAUAUUUUUAAAAUAAUAUUUAUCAGAUCAAGAUCUAAGCUAGUCGAUUUGUGAAUGUUUCACAUAAGUCUGACACCCCAAAUC
RNAcentral lists this long non-coding RNA (278 nucleotides) under Elaeis guineensis (African oil palm). RNAcentral describes it as "long non-coding RNA (EGUI_LNC042130)". The record is from RNAcentral. Lineage: Eukaryota; Viridiplantae; Streptophyta; Magnoliopsida; Arecales; Arecaceae.